GGAGAGAUGACCGAGUCGGCCGAAGGUGCACGCCUGCUAAGCGUGUGUACCCAAAUACGGGUACCGAGGGUUCGAAUCCCUCUCUCUCCGCCA
This 93-nucleotide transfer RNA is filed under the name bacterium. Its description in RNAcentral is "tRNA-Ser". It matches the Rfam family "tRNA". Rfam says of the family: Transfer RNA (tRNA) molecules are approximately 80 nucleotides in length. Their secondary structure includes four short double-helical elements and three loops (D, anti-codon, and T loops). Further hydrogen bonds mediate the characteristic L-shaped molecular structure. tRNAs have two regions of fundamental functional importance: the anti-codon, which is responsible for specific mRNA codon recognition, and the 3' end, to which the tRNAs corresponding amino acid is attached (by aminoacyl-tRNA synthetases). tRNAs cope with the degeneracy of the genetic code in two manners: having more than one tRNA (with a specific anti-codon) for a particular amino acid; and 'wobble' base-pairing, i.e. permitting non-standard base-pairing at the 3rd anti-codon position. The record is from RNAcentral.